Molecule: ribosomal RNA, 468 nt
Filed under: uncultured bacterium
Lineage: Bacteria
Description: partial 16S ribosomal RNA
Rfam family: Bacterial small subunit ribosomal RNA
Source: RNAcentral
GACGAACGCUGGCGGCGUGCUUAACACAUGCAAGUCGAACGGAAAGGCCCUGCUUUUGUGGGGUGCUCGAGUGGCGAACGGGUGAGUAACACGUUAGUAACCUGCCCUUGACUUUGGGAUAACUUCAGGAAACUGGGGCUAAUACCGGAUAGGAGCUCCUGCUGCAUGGUGGGGGUUGGAAAGUUUCGGCGGUUGGGGAUGGACUCGCGGCUUAUCAGCUUGUUGGUGGGGUAGUGGCUUACCAAGGCUUUGACGGGUAGCCGGCCUGAGAGGGUGACCGGCCACAUUGGGACUGAGAUACGGCCCAGACUACUACGGGAGGCAGCAGUGGGGAAUAUUGAACAAUGGGCGGAAGCCUGAUGCAGCAAAGCCGCGUGCGGGAUGACGGACUUCGGGUUGUAAACCGCGUUCGCCUGUGACGAAGCGUGAGUGACGGUAAUGGGUAAAGAAGCACCGGCUAACUACGUG